UGGCUCAGAACGAACGCUGACGGCGCGUCUUAAGCAUGCAAGUCGAACGAGAAAGUAUCCUUCGGGGUACAAGUAAAGUGGCGAACGGUGUGAGUAACAUGUGGAUAAUCCGCCCAUGUAGUGGGGGCAACUCGCUGAAGAGCGAGCUAAUACCGAAUGAGAUAGUCUUUACAUAUGUGAGGAUUAUGAAAGGUUUCGGCCGCUUCAGGAUGAGCCUGCGGUCUAUCAGCUAGUUGGUGAGGUAAAUGCUCACCAGGGCUACGAUAGAUAGCCGGCCUGAGAGGGUGUACGGUCACAUUGGAACUGAGACACGGUCCAGACUCCUACGGGAGGCAGCAGCUAAGAAUAUUCCGCAAUGGGCGAAAGCCUGACGGAGCGACGCCGUGUGGUUGAUGAAGGCCUUACAGGUUGUAAAAACCUUUCAUUCGAGAAGAUGGGCAAGCCUCGAGCUUGCUUGACGGAAUCGAACGAAUAAGCCCCGGCAAAUUACGUGCCAGCAGCCGCGGUAAUACGUA
RNAcentral lists this ribosomal RNA (515 nucleotides) under uncultured organism. Its description in RNAcentral is "bacterial SSU rRNA". It matches the Rfam family "Bacterial small subunit ribosomal RNA", at positions 20 to 529 of the family's 1533-position model. The record is from RNAcentral.